Molecule: long non-coding RNA, 1710 nt
Organism: Polistes canadensis
Lineage: Eukaryota; Metazoa; Arthropoda; Insecta; Hymenoptera; Vespidae
Exons: 2
Source: RefSeq, a predicted model, not a curated record
GUCGGUGGGGUGGGCAGGGGGACUAGGAGAAGGGACGAAGUAGGCACGAAGGUGGGAUAGAAAUUGUGGAAUAGUAGGGGUAGGCGGUAUGGUUCUGGGGGUUGGAAAGCAGCUGAGAACAGUGCGAGUAGGUCACACCGUCGACCACAGUGGCAGUCUGCGUUUGGCAAACGGCUCGACUGUCCAUCGAUAACAUGAAUUAUUCGAUCGUUACCACCGGUCUAUCGACGAAUUCCCGCCCAGGGAUGACAAGAAGGAACAAAAGGAUUCAGUUUUUCUCUGGCAGGCUCGUUUGAAAACAACAAGAAGAAAAAAUACAAAAAAAAAAAAAACACACACACAUAUUAUUAUAUACGUAUUAUAAAAGAUAAUUCUAAAAAAGAUAUAUAAAAAAAAAAAAAAAAAAAAAUAGAGAAAUAUUAUAGGAGAACACCAACGCACCCGUUGGCGGGGCUUUUUCCUUACGAACUUUUCUCUUCGUGAAUCUCGAGAAAAAGAGACAAGAGAGAGCGAGAAAGAGUGAGUGCGAGUAAGAGAGAGAGUGAGAGUGAGAGGGGGGAUACGUUAUUUACUGUUGAUUUUCUUCCCCCUUCUACUUCUACUUCUUCUAUUACUACUACUACUACUACUACUACUACAAAAAUGUUAUAUUAGUUCUUCUACUGCUGUGGGACACUUGUAUGUACUGAACAGAAAAAAAAAAUAAGAGAGAGAGGAAAGAUAGUGAAAGUGGUUGUUUUUGUUAGUUGAAGCAUCGUUCCUCUCUCUUCUCGUACAUUUCGAGAAUUCAUGCUACCCAGUAACAAUUGGUGUGUCACCUAGUAGUCACGUGUGUAUACUUCGUUUCUUUCUCCUCCGUUAUUAUACUUCUGCUGUUACAUUUUUCUUUUUAUUAAUCUUUUAACAUUUGUGAGAACAUUGAAAAGAGUGAGAGAGAGAGAGAGAGAAAGAGAACCGUGUUUUAAUAGAAGAAUAUAAUCAACGGAAGAAGCAUAACACGAGAUAAUAAUUAAUAUUGUUAAUUUAUUGUUAUCGUUGAAUCGUUGUUGAUUAACGGGAGAAAAGAAACAAAAAAAAAAAAAAACAAACCAGGAGCUCAGGUAUUUCAAAUUGUGAUACGCUUUUAAAGCGUAUUCUUUUUUCGUUUGUUUUUUCGUCUAUUAAGCAUUGAGAAUUAAACGGCAAGGAGGGGAAGGGGGAGAGAGAGAGAGAAAAAAAGAAAAUAUAAUUAGAUAAGAAAUUAGCCGAUGAUUUUGAUUCGAUGAUGGAAUUACCUUGACUGAUAAUUUAAAAAAAUCAAGAAAAUAAAACAACGGGAAAGCCGAUUAUAUAUUAAUACUUUUGUACGAUAAUCGAGUAAAUCGUUAAACAGUUUAUAAGAAGAAGAAGAAGAAGAAGGAAAAAUAACAAAAAAAAAAAAAGUAAGAAAUACGAUUGUAAGGAAAAAUUGAUCGAUGAUCUAAAGGAAAUCUUUGGACAAAAUUGACGUCUCGUUGUCGAAUUGUUUGAUAUCACAAAUAGAGAAAGAAACUAACAAACAAACAAACAAACAAACGUACACGUAAGUGUAGAUCGUCAAACUAUUUUAGUCACUUACAUUUAAUCGUUUCUACAACUUACUCGGAUGGAUAUCGAACGAUAAGAUCAUCGAAUGUUCGAUACGCUGCUCUAAGAGGAAUCUAAAAAGAAAAAGAAGAAAAAGAAAAAGAA